CCUGGCUCAGAACGAACGCUGGCGGCAGGCCUAACACAUGCAAGUCGAGCGAGAUCUUCGGAUCUAGCGGCGGACGGGUGAGUAACGCGUGGGAACGUACCCUUUUCUACGGAAUAGCCUCGGGAAACUGGGAGUAAUACCGUAUACGCCCCUUGGGGGAAAGAUUUAUCGGAGAAGGAUCGGCCCGCGUUGGAUUAGGUAGUUGGUGGGGUAAUGGCCUACCAAGCCGACGAUCCAUAGCUGGUUUGAGAGGAUGAUCAGCCACACUGGGACUGAGACACGGCCCAGACUCCUACGGGAGGCAGCAGUGGGGAAUCUUAGACAAUGGGGGCAACCCUGAUCUAGCCAUGCCUCAUGGGUGAUGAAGGCCUUAGGGUUGUAAAGCUCUUUCAGCUGGGAAGAUAAUGAC
This 409-nucleotide ribosomal RNA is filed under the name Paracoccus sp. VV41. RNAcentral's name for it is "bacterial SSU rRNA". It matches the Rfam family "Bacterial small subunit ribosomal RNA", at positions 18 to 455 of the family's 1533-position model. Lineage: Bacteria; Pseudomonadati; Pseudomonadota; Alphaproteobacteria; Rhodobacterales; Paracoccaceae. The record is from RNAcentral.